Trichobilharzia regenti is the source of this 45-nucleotide non-coding RNA. The record is from Rfam. Lineage: Eukaryota; Metazoa; Platyhelminthes; Trematoda; Strigeidida; Schistosomatidae.
AGUUAGCUGACGAGUCCCAAAUAGGACGAAAUGCGCAUCCUGGAU